UGCAGUCGAGCGGUAACAGAUCUAGCUUGCUAGAUGCUGACGAGCGGCGGACGGGUGAGUAAUGCAUAGGAAUCUGCCCGGUAGUGGGGGAUAACCUGGGGAAACCCAGGCUAAUACCGCAUACGUCCUACGGGAGAAAGGGGGCUCCGGCUCCCGCUAUUGGAUGAGCCUAUGUCGGAUUAGCUAGUUGGUGAGGUAAUGGCUCACCAAGGCGACGAUCCGUAGCUGGUCUGAGAGGAUGAUCAGCCACAUCGGGACUGAGACACGGCCCGAACUCCUACGGGAGGCAGCAGUGGGGAAUAUUGGACAAUGGGGGGAACCCUGAUCCAGCCAUGCCGCGUGUGUGAAGAAGGCCCUCGGGUUGUAAAGCACUUUCAGCGAGGAAGAACGCCUGGUGGUUAAUACCCAUCAGGAAAGACAUCACUCGCAGAAGAAGCACCGGCUAACUCCGUGCCAGCAGCCGCGGUAAUACGGAGGGUGCAAGCGUUAAUCGGAAUUACUGGGCGUAAAGCGCGCGUAGGUGGCUUGAUAAGCCGGUUGUGAAAGCCCCGGGCUCAACCUGGGAACGGCAUCCGGAACUGUCAAGCUAGAGUACAGGAGAGGAAGGUAGAAUUCCCGGUGUAGCGGUGAAAUGCGUAGAGAUCGGGAGGAAUACCAGUGGCGAAGGCGGCCUUCUGGACUGAUACUGACACUGAGGUGCGAAAGCGUGGGUAGCAAACAGGAUUAGAUACCCUGGUAGUCCACGCCGUAAACGAUGUCGACCAGCCGUUGGGUGCCUAGCGCACUUUGUGGCGAAGUUAACGCGAUAAGUCGACCGCCUGGGGAGUACGGCCGCAAGGUUAAAACUCAAAUGAAUUGACGGGGGCCCGCACAAGCGGUGGAGCAUGUGGUUUAAUUCGAUGCAACGCGAAGAACCUUACCUACCCUUGACA
Molecule: ribosomal RNA, 932 nt
Filed under: Halovibrio variabilis
Lineage: Bacteria; Pseudomonadati; Pseudomonadota; Gammaproteobacteria; Oceanospirillales; Halomonadaceae
Description: bacterial SSU rRNA
Rfam family: Bacterial small subunit ribosomal RNA
Source: RNAcentral